This 418-nucleotide unclassified non-coding RNA is filed under the name Hevea brasiliensis (rubber tree). Lineage: Eukaryota; Viridiplantae; Streptophyta; Magnoliopsida; Malpighiales; Euphorbiaceae. The record is from RNAcentral.
GAACAAUUGGUUAUCUAAACUUACCUAGCCAGCCAUAUGCCAACAUUAUUUCAAUACAAAUUGAGCAAUUAAUGUUACACUUCUUAAUAUGAAGACUUGCAAUCUAUGAUACAUGGCCUACCAUGCAAAACUUGCAUCAUAAAUACACAAAAAAUCUUAGAUUGAUAAAUUAAUUUAGUUUAGUUUAUUUAUAAAUUGGUAACUUUGACUAUAAGCUAGUUAUAACCUAGUUUUAAAUAUAAGCUAAAAGUUAUACAUUCAUAUUACAAGACUAUAUUUUCUAAGAAAUUAGAUGUUAAGCCAAUAAAGGUUCAUAUAUUGAUUUUCUGAGGCAAGCAAAUGCAAUAAAUAUGAAAAGUAAGAUUUUCAAUGAACCACAACGAUAAAGACCUACCCAAUGCCACCUAGUGGAAUGCCU